GACGAACGCUGGCGGCGUGCUUAACACAUGCAAGUCUACGGGAAAGGGGUAGCAAUAUCCCGAGUAUAGUGGCGCACGGGUGAGUAACACGUAGGCAAUUUGCCUUUAGGACGGGGACAACUCCGCGAAAGCGGAGCUAAUACCCGAUAAUGCAGCGGCAUCGCAUGAUGAUGUUGUUAAAGGUCCGCAAGGACGCCUAGAGAUGAGCCUGCGUCCCAUUAGGUAGUUGGUGAGGUAACGGCCCACCAAGCCUGCGAUGGGUAGCUGGUCUGAGAGGAUGAUCAGCCACACUGGAACUGAGACACGGUCCAGACUCCUACGGGAGGCAG
This 329-nucleotide ribosomal RNA is filed under the name uncultured Chlorobiota bacterium. Its description in RNAcentral is "bacterial SSU rRNA". It matches the Rfam family "Bacterial small subunit ribosomal RNA", at positions 28 to 351 of the family's 1533-position model. The record is from RNAcentral. Lineage: Bacteria; Pseudomonadati; Chlorobiota.